Molecule: ribosomal RNA, 136 nt
Filed under: uncultured eukaryote
Lineage: Eukaryota
Description: partial 18S ribosomal RNA
Rfam family: Eukaryotic small subunit ribosomal RNA
Source: RNAcentral
GCGCGCAAAUUACCCACUCCCGGCACGGGGAGGUAGUGACGAAAAAUAACGAUACGGGACUCUUCCGAGGCCCCGUGAUUGGAAUGAGUACACUUUAAAACCUUUAACGAGGACCCAUUGGAGGGCAAGUCUGGUG